RNAcentral lists this ribosomal RNA (435 nucleotides) under uncultured bacterium. RNAcentral describes it as "partial 16S ribosomal RNA". It matches the Rfam family "Bacterial small subunit ribosomal RNA", at positions 29 to 507 of the family's 1533-position model. The record is from RNAcentral.
AGCGAACGCUGGCGGCAGGCUUAACACAUGCAAGUCGAGCGGGCACUUUCGGGUGUCAGCGGCGGACGGGUGCGGAACGCGUGGGAACGUGCCCUCUGGUUCGGAAUAACUCAGGGAAACUUGAGCUAAUACCGGAUACGCCCGUUUGGGGAAAGGCUUGCUGCCGGAGGAUCGGCCCGCGUCUGAUUAGCUAGUUGGUGAGGUAACGGCUCACCAAGGCGACGAUCAGUAGCUGGUCUGAGAGGAUGAUCAGCCACACUGGGGCUGAGACACGGCCCAGACUCCUACGGGAGGCAGCAGUGGGGAAUAUUGGACACUGGGCGCAAGCCUGAUCCAGCCAUGCCGCGUGAGUGAUGAAGGCCUUAGGGUUGUAAAGCUCUUUUAUCCGGGACGAUAAUGACGUUACCGGAGGAAUAAGCCCCGGCUAACUUCGUG